AUAUAUUCUUAUAUUCCCCUUAAAGUCAAAGGGAACAUCAUCUAAUUUGAGCCAUUGGAUCUGGCUGAAACUUAAUCCUGACCGUCAUAAUUCAAUAAAAGUUUCUAGAAGGAGAAGUUAUAUGGUAGUUUUCUUUCACCAAAACUGUCUGGUCAAAGCUAGAUUUUAGUACAUCUUCCCUCCCACGUUUUCCAACUUCAAUCCCUUUAAAACUUUUUCUCGAAUUUGUUUUUCCAUUUGCAUUUGCAUCGCGUCUACAAUUGGAUGUGUUUGUUCAGACCAUUGUCGAUAACGAAGAUAAAGUUUGUAAGAAGCCAUAAAUGUUCUUCUUUUAACCUUUUUUUUUUCUCGGAUUCAAAGAAAAAUUGGUUUAAAUCAAUAGGUUUGUUUGUGUGAUUUUGAUGCAAUUAACCUAAAAGAAGUUUUGGUUGUGAAUCAAAUCAAGCAACGAAGGACAACCAAGUAUGUUGGUGGGAUAGAUUAUCAUUAAGAAAGGGAAACCAAUUGUCACCAUCGCCGGCUUCUACCAAAACAGUUCCAGAUGAACAAGGUCACGAUUUCCAUCGCAUCAACCAGUACGGAUCGACUGUAAGUUAAUCGAGAUUCAAAGUACCAACCCCAACUCUCAAUUCUUAUUAAAUCUCUAGAAGUAGAAUCGGUUUUGCAGGUCUGUUUUAACGAUUUGAAGGUUCCUGUUGAUGGUGGUUUCUUAUAAUUAGCAUCAACAUCUUGAUGUCAGAUUUGUAUUGGUGAUAUGCUGAUAAUUAGCUUCAUAAUUUCAUUGGGAUUUUUGCCUAUUACCUUUUUAUCUUAUGUUGUAGAUAUUGUUUUUUACAUAAAGAUAUAACCAUCUAGAGUCUACAUAUAUCAAAAUUGCUGGUAACUCAAUGUUUACACCUUAUAUUUAGCUUUGCAUGAAAUAUUGAAUAGUGAUGGAAUCAAAUUUGUGGGGUAUGAUUGCAUGCUUUUUGGUUGUUAGAUACUUAUAUUUUGUUUUAGUGUGUACGUAAACAGAACUAGUACGGCUGCCAAUGAACUAGUGGAUCACAGGGUAUUAUUAUCAAAAAUAAAGAUCAAUUUAUGAACUACAUGAUGUACUUCUGUUAGGUCAAGAAUUUUGAUCCUUGCUCUGAUGAUUGUGCAUCCACCUAUCUGAGUAGAGCAAAAUUGCAAGCAGCUAUUUAUGCCCAAAAAACCUCAUCGUUACAUUGUUGGUACUCAUUUUCUUUAAAUUUGCAUGGUAAUACUAUAAACACAAAUGUUCACAUGUUUGUUAGAAGUCAACCUAGCAACUAUACCCCCAAAAGACCAAGCAAUUCCUAAUGGUAAGUAAUUAUUCGCAAAUAAAAUAUGUAUUUUUUUUUGUUUUCUUUCUAUUUUUAACCUUAAAGUUUUCAUUUUUUACCUAAUAUCUUAUCUAAAUUGUCAUGGAAUCUUCAAGAUUUAUCUCUAAAUGAAAUUGCGUGUUAGAAAAAUCUUAUCUUUUUGCUGAACAUGCUUAUAAUAUGGUGUUAAACAGAAAACACACUUUGGGUGAUGAAGGUUGUAAGUUUCGUAGCUUUGAUACCUCUGGAGGUGUUUGGCCACGCUAACUGUUGCAACCACUUUUACAUGGGUAAAUGGACAGUUGGGUAACGGGUCAAACAGGUUGGUGGUCAUCACACUCAGGUAGACACUGCAGCCAAAGUCAAGGGGCCUAAAGAUGAAGUUCAAAUAUAUACUUGAAUGGACGCCAAAAAACGUGAGCUAAUGAUUCGGGAUAAAGAUUUGGCUCUUAUUGAAGAACAUACGAAGGCUUUUAAAGCCGAAGGAGGGGAUGUAAGCAUUUGGUGACCAAAAUGAAGAAGAAGAUUAAGCGGCCAAGUGAUAGUUAAUAGUACCAAGCCAAACCAGAGUGAUUUAGGAGGUCUAACAAAGAAAACUCACUUUGGGCGUCUAUGGACGGGUUCCUUUCUAGCUAGCGUUUUAAGUUUUACCCGUUAGAGAUAGAAUAUAACCUGAAACAACCCAUUCGUAUAUAAAUGGUUAAAGUUUCCACCUUUUAACACCGAAUUAUUUAUAAUAUUUCUAACGUUUCUGUGGUGUUUUAAUGCAGACCAUGAAUUUCAGGAACUUGCAGCUUCUUUCUGGUCUGCUUCAGGUAAACGAGUAACCGAAUACUUGAGCAUCGCAACACGUGUUAGAAGUUCUCUUAGGAUUGCAGAAAGGCCAAGGUUUGUAUCUGCAUUUCGCUGAUCCAAUUGUGGGAAUAUGAGCCCCAAUGUGCUUGGGGCAUUCUGCACCGAUACUGGACUACCCUGUGACUUUAAUCAUAGUACUUGUGAUGGGAAGAAUGAGUUGUGUUAUGUUCGAGGACCAAGGUUCAUAUUCUUGAUUUCUAUACAUUCUAUAUAGGUGGUAAGAUCAUUGGGUUAGGUCUAAACGGUUCAACUUUUGACGGUUGUCUCUGAUCGUCUUUACAAGUGCUUUUGUCGGUUGUCUCUGAUUGUCUUUACAAGUGCUUUGCUAUGUGUUUAGGCAUAUUAUACAUCAAUAUAUGAUAGCGAAACAUCCCACAUA
Long non-coding RNA from Helianthus annuus (common sunflower), 2559 nucleotides. RefSeq lists it as uncharacterized. The record is from RefSeq and is a predicted model, not a curated record. Lineage: Eukaryota; Viridiplantae; Streptophyta; Magnoliopsida; Asterales; Asteraceae. The transcript is spliced from 5 exons.